Molecule: ribosomal RNA, 509 nt
Filed under: uncultured bacterium
Lineage: Bacteria
Description: bacterial SSU rRNA
Rfam family: Bacterial small subunit ribosomal RNA
Source: RNAcentral
AUUGAACGCUGGCGGCAUGCUUUACACAUGCAAGUCGAACGGUAACAGGGAGCUUGCUCCGCUGACGAGUGGCGAACGGGUGGGUAAUGCAUCGGAACGUACCCAGUCGUGGGGGAUAACGUAGCGAAAGUUACGCUAAUACCGCAUACGUCCUGAGGGAGAAAGCGGGGGACCGUAAGGCCUCGCGCGAUUGGAGCGGCCGAUGUCGGAUUAGCUAGUUGGUAGGGUAAAGGCCUACCAAGGCGACGAUCCGUAGCGGGGUCUGAGAGGAUGAUCCGCCACACUGGGACUGAGACACGGCCCAGACUCCUACGGGAGGCAGCAGUGGGGAAUUUGGACAAUGGGCGAAAGCCUGAUCCAGCCAUGCCGCGUGAGUGAAGAAGGCCUUCGGGUUGUAAAGCUCUUUCAGCCGGAAAGAAAUCGCGCAGGAUAAUAACUCUGCGUGGAUGACGGUACCGGAAGAAGAAGCACCGGCUAACUACGUGCCAGCAGCCGCGGUAAUGCUAACG